UACAGAGGUCCCAAGCGUUGUUCGGAUUCAUUGGGCGUAAAGGGUGUGUAGGUGGCGCCGUAAGUCGGGUGUGAAAUCUCGGGGCUUAACUCCGAAACUGCAUUCGAUACUGCGGUGCUUGAGGACUGGAGAGGAGACUGGAAUUUACGGUGUAGCGGUGAAAUGCGUAGAUAUCGUAAGGAAGACCAGUGGCGAAGGCGGGUCUCUGGACAGUUCCUGACGCUGAGGCACGAAGGUCAGGGGAGCAAACGGG
This 253-nucleotide ribosomal RNA is filed under the name uncultured bacterium. RNAcentral's name for it is "partial 16S ribosomal RNA". It matches the Rfam family "Bacterial small subunit ribosomal RNA", at positions 524 to 776 of the family's 1533-position model. The record is from RNAcentral.